This 567-nucleotide long non-coding RNA is filed under the name Eptatretus burgeri (inshore hagfish). RNAcentral describes it as "lncRNA (ENSEBUG00000017485.1)". Lineage: Eukaryota; Metazoa; Chordata; Myxini; Myxiniformes; Myxinidae. The record is from RNAcentral.
CAGCCGAGGGGCCUCGAUACCUAGCCUAUAACCUUCCUGGGGUCCGUCCCAACAUUCUUUGUUUCAAUCAAACUCCAAAACGGUCGACUUUUCAGGUACUCCGGGAUACGGCGUGUUUUUCACAACCGUAGCCUUGUCUGUAGUUGACGUGGUGUGCAGUUGGUGGGACUCUUGUACGUUGGACCGGGACUUCCAAAGUUAUGUCCACUUGUUGGAGGUUCCUCUGCAGCUACAGACAUUCACAAGUAGCACAUACGUGAGAAUGCUACAUGCCUCAGCUGCCGGACCGGUUUCAUCAAUUGUUGAUCUGAACCCAAUCAAGCGUUUAUGGGAUAUUCAGGGACGACGCCUGAGUCAGCGUUUUCCACCUCAUUCAAACAGGUGACAGAGUGAGUCGAGUCAUCGGUGUGGCAGCGAGUUGAGUUGUCCAGUUGGCUGAGGAGAGUUGCGGGAAGAGGCAAAGGAGCUCGGGUCCGAGGCGAGAAGGACGGCGGUCGGCGACGAGGUCGCGGUGUGGGGGGGGGGGGGGGGGGGGGGGGGGGGGGGGGGGGGGGGGGGGGGGGGGGG